GCCUGGGUGGCGGAAUUGGUAGACGCAAGGGACUUAAAAUCCCUCGAUACCUAGUAUCGUGCCGGUUCAACUCCGGCCCUAGGCACCA
Molecule: transfer RNA, 88 nt
Filed under: Syntrophaceae bacterium
Lineage: Bacteria; Pseudomonadati; Thermodesulfobacteriota; Syntrophia; Syntrophales; Syntrophaceae
Also listed under: 1 other name
Description: tRNA-Leu
Rfam family: tRNA
About the family: Transfer RNA (tRNA) molecules are approximately 80 nucleotides in length. Their secondary structure includes four short double-helical elements and three loops (D, anti-codon, and T loops). Further hydrogen bonds mediate the characteristic L-shaped molecular structure. tRNAs have two regions of fundamental functional importance: the anti-codon, which is responsible for specific mRNA codon recognition, and the 3' end, to which the tRNAs corresponding amino acid is attached (by aminoacyl-tRNA synthetases). tRNAs cope with the degeneracy of the genetic code in two manners: having more than one tRNA (with a specific anti-codon) for a particular amino acid; and 'wobble' base-pairing, i.e. permitting non-standard base-pairing at the 3rd anti-codon position.
Source: RNAcentral